CAGGUCUUGACAUCCCUCUGACCGGCUUAGAGAUAAGUCUUUCCUUCGGGACAGAGGUGACAGGUGGUGCAUGGUUGUCGUCAGCUCGUGUCGUGAGAUGUUGGGUUAAGUCCCGCAACGAGCGCAACCCUUGAACUUAGUUGCCAGCAGGUGAAGCUGGGCACUCUAAGUUGACUGCCGGUGACAAACCGGAGGAAGGCGGGGAUGACGUCAAAUCAUCAUGCCCCUUAUGACCUGGGCUACACACGUACUACAAUGGCCGGUACAACGGGAAGCGAAGGAGCGAUCCGGAGCCAAUCCUAGAAAAGCCGGUCUCAGUUCGGAUUGCAGGCUGCAACUCGCCUGCAUGAAGUCGGAAUCGCUAGUAAUCGCAGAUCAGCAUUGCUGCGGUGAAUACGUUCCC
This 403-nucleotide ribosomal RNA is filed under the name uncultured bacterium. RNAcentral's name for it is "bacterial SSU rRNA". It matches the Rfam family "Bacterial small subunit ribosomal RNA", at positions 975 to 1375 of the family's 1533-position model. The record is from RNAcentral.